RNAcentral lists this ribosomal RNA (429 nucleotides) under Chloroflexota bacterium. RNAcentral's name for it is "Chloroflexi bacterium partial 16S ribosomal RNA". It matches the Rfam family "Bacterial small subunit ribosomal RNA", at positions 355 to 776 of the family's 1533-position model. The record is from RNAcentral. Lineage: Bacteria; Bacillati; Chloroflexota.
UGGGGAAUAUUGCACAAUGGGCGCAAGCCUGAUGCAGCCAUGCCGCGUGUGUGAAGAAGGCCUUCGGGUUGUAAAGCACUUUCAGCGGGGAGGAAGGCGUUAAGGUUAAUAACCUUGGCGAUUGACGUUACCCGCAGAAGAAGCACCGGCUAACUCCGUGCCAGCAGCCGCGGUAAUACGGAGGGUGCAAGCGUUAAUCGGAAUUACUGGGCGUAAAGCGCACGCAGGCGGUCUGUCAAGUCGGAUGUGAAAUCCCCGGGCUCAACCUGGGAACUGCAUUCGAAACUGGAAGGCUAGAGUCUUGUAGAGGGGGGUAGAAUUCCAGGUGUAGCGGUGAAAUGCGUAGAGAUCUGGAGGAAUACCGGUGGCGAAGGCGGCCCCCUGGACAAAGACUAACGCUCAGGUGCGAAAGCGUGGGGAGCAAACAGG